RNAcentral lists this ribosomal RNA (468 nucleotides) under uncultured bacterium. Its description in RNAcentral is "partial 16S ribosomal RNA". It matches the Rfam family "Bacterial small subunit ribosomal RNA", at positions 28 to 507 of the family's 1533-position model. The record is from RNAcentral.
GACGAACGCUGGCGGCGUGCUUAACACAUGCAAGUCGAACGGAAAGGCCCUGCUUUUGUGGGGUGCUCGAGUGGCGAACGGGUGAGUAACACGUGAGUAACCUGCCCUUGACUUUGGGAUAACUUCAGGAAACUGGGGCUAAUACCGGAUAGGAGCUCCUGCUGCAUGGUGGGGGUUGGAAAGUUUCGGCGGUUGGGGAUGGACUCGCGGCUUAUCAGCUUGUUGGUGGGGUAGUGGCUUACCAAGGCUUUGACGGGUAGCCGGCCUGAGAGGGUGACCGGCCACAUUGGGACUGAGGUACGGCCCAGUCUCCUACGGGAGGCAGCAGUGGGGAAUAUUGCACAAUGGGCGGAAGCCUGAUGCAGCAACGCCGCGUGCGUGAUGACGGCCUUCGGGUUGUAAACCGCUUUCGCCUGUGACGAAGCGUGAGUGACGGUAAUGGGUAAGGAAGCACCGGCUAACUACGUG